Molecule: transfer RNA, 73 nt
Filed under: Fasciola hepatica (liver fluke)
Lineage: Eukaryota; Metazoa; Platyhelminthes; Trematoda; Plagiorchiida; Fasciolidae
Rfam family: tRNA
About the family: Transfer RNA (tRNA) molecules are approximately 80 nucleotides in length. Their secondary structure includes four short double-helical elements and three loops (D, anti-codon, and T loops). Further hydrogen bonds mediate the characteristic L-shaped molecular structure. tRNAs have two regions of fundamental functional importance: the anti-codon, which is responsible for specific mRNA codon recognition, and the 3' end, to which the tRNAs corresponding amino acid is attached (by aminoacyl-tRNA synthetases). tRNAs cope with the degeneracy of the genetic code in two manners: having more than one tRNA (with a specific anti-codon) for a particular amino acid; and 'wobble' base-pairing, i.e. permitting non-standard base-pairing at the 3rd anti-codon position.
Source: Rfam by way of RNAcentral
ACCGCGAAAGCUCAGCUGGUAGAGCAUCUGCCCGGUAUGCGGAGCGUCGCCGGUUCGAUUCCGGCUCGCGGCG